RNAcentral lists this ribosomal RNA (1180 nucleotides) under Oenococcus oeni. Its description in RNAcentral is "bacterial LSU rRNA". It matches the Rfam family "Bacterial large subunit ribosomal RNA", at positions 1734 to 2925 of the family's 2925-position model. The record is from RNAcentral. Lineage: Bacteria; Bacillati; Bacillota; Bacilli; Lactobacillales; Lactobacillaceae.
CUUCGGAAGAAGGACUGCUGGUUUUAUACCAGCCGCAGCAAAUAGGCCCAAACAACUGUUUAUCAAAAACACAGGUUUCUGCAAAAUCGUAAGAUGAAGUAUAGGGGCUGACGCCUGCCCAGUGCUGGAAGGUUAAAAGGAGGACUUAGCUUCGGCGAAGGUCUUAAUUGAAGCCCCAGUGAACGGCGGCCGUAACUAUAACGGUCCUAAGGUAGCGAAAUUCCUUGUCGGGUAAGUUCCGACCCGCAUGAAAGGCGUAAUGAUUUGGGCGCUGUCUCAACAAUAGACUCGGUGAAAUUUAAAUUCCAGUGAAGAUGCUGGGUACCCGCGACAGGACGGAAAGACCCCGUGGAGCUUUACUGUAGCUUGAUAUUGAAUGUUUGUGCUGCAUGUGCAGGAUAGGUAGGAGACUUUGAAGUCGGAACGCUAGUUUCGAUUGAGUCACCCUUGAGAUACUACCUCUGUUGUAUGAACGUUCUAACUCUGAUCAGUUAUCCUGAUCGAAGACAGUGUCUGGCAGGCAGUUUGACUGGGGCGGUCGCCUCCUAAAAGAUAACGGAGGCGCUCAAAGGUUUGCUCAGAAUGGUUGGAAAUCAUUCGUAGCGUGUAAAGGCAUAAGCAAGCUUGACUGUGAGACUGACAAGUCGAGCAGGUACGAAAGUAGGACUUAGUGAUCCGGUGGUUCCGUAUGGAAGGGCCAUCGCUCAACGGACAAAAGCUACCCCGGGGAUAACAGGCUCAUCUCCCCCAAGAGUCCACAUCGACGGGGAGGUUUGGCACCUCGAUGUCGGCUCAUCGCAUCCUGGGGCUGUAGUCGGUCCCAAGGGUUGGGCUGUUCGCCCAUUAAAGCGGUACGCGAGCUGGGUUCAGAACGUCGUGAGACAGUUCGGUCCCUAUCCGUCGUGGGCGCAGGAAAUUUGAGAGGAUCUGUCCUUAGUACGAGAGGACCGGGAUGGACAUACCUCUGGUGUACCAGUUGUUCUGCCAAGAGCACCGCUGGGUAGCUACGUAUGGAUUAGAUAAUCGCUGAAAGCAUCUAAGUGAGAAACUAACCUCGAGAUGAGAUUUCCCAUUCGUCAGAAGUAAGACCCCUGAGAGACGAUCAGGUAGAUAGGCUAGAAGUGGAAGUGUAGUGAUGCAUGGAGCGGACUAGUACUAAUAGGUCGAGGACUUAACCAAG